This is a long non-coding RNA of Gasterosteus aculeatus aculeatus (three-spined stickleback), 691 nucleotides long. NCBI's taxonomy places the organism in Eukaryota, Metazoa, Chordata, Actinopteri, Perciformes, Gasterosteidae. The record is from Ensembl.
CUUUAGUCUGAAGAUGUGAAGGUUCUCUGUGGUCCUGAUGUCUUCAGAGACCUCCUUCCACCAUUUAGGAGCAGGACAGCAAAGAGUGGAGAUCUAGUCGAGUGUUUUGCUCUCAGCGAGGAGGAACAAGCAGUUUAUCACAUGCAGAGCGGAGAGUGCGGGUCGGGAUGUCUGGUUGGACCAGGUCCUGGAUGUAAGCUGGACCCCAUCCAUUCACAGCACGUAGUUUCAGACUUUUAUGUUUUUGAAGAAUCGGCGCCAACGCAGCUCAACUUCUACUUGCUGCUGCACUGACUCGAACCCUCUUAACUCAACGAAACUCGACCUUCAGUUCAGACAGAAAGCUGCGACUUCCUCGACCGGCCGUCUGAUGUGUCGGAAUCCAUUCCAGUUCACCUUCUGGGGAGACGGUUCCCCCGCUGGGAAACGUCUGACGCGAUAGCAAACAGUUAAAAAAACAUGUCACAGUUCAUUCUGGGAGGAAAUGUCCAACUCUGCUGAGGCCCACUGAGCGCAGCUGGAGUCCGUCCCAAAGUUUGACUUAAUCCCUGUAAAGACAUCCGGCUGCGUGUGUUUGGAAUGAACUGAGACAGAACAGCUGAACGGUGAAGUUAUCAAAUCGCCUGCUUCUUCCAACCGCAUGGCGACUGCAGUGAGGCGGCGCCGCAGAUGGAGCAGGAAAUGUUCGAGU